This 381-nucleotide ribosomal RNA is filed under the name uncultured bacterium. Its description in RNAcentral is "bacterial SSU rRNA". It matches the Rfam family "Bacterial small subunit ribosomal RNA", at positions 30 to 412 of the family's 1533-position model. The record is from RNAcentral.
AUUGAACGCUGGCGGCAUGCCUUACACAUGCAAGUCGAACGGCAGCACGGGAGCAAUCCUGGUGGCGAGUGGCGAACGGGUGAGUAAUAUAUCGGAACGUGCCCAGUCGUGGGGAUAACGUAGCGAAAGCUACGCUAAUACCGCAUACGAUCUAUGGAUGAAAGCGGGGAAUCGCAAGACCUCGCGCGAUUGGAGCGGCCGAUAUCAGAUUAGGUAGUUGGUGAGGUAAAGGCUCACCAAGCCGACGAUCUGUAGCUGGUCUGAGAGGACGACCAGCCACACUGGGACUGAGACACGGCCCAGACUCCUACGGGAGGCAGCAGUGGGGAAUUUUGGACAAUGGGCGCAAGCCUGAUCCAGCAAUGCCGCGUGCAGGAUGAA